UAACAGAAAAGAAAGGAGCCCUCUUCAAAA
Molecule: non-coding RNA, 30 nt
Filed under: Mus musculus (house mouse)
Lineage: Eukaryota; Metazoa; Chordata; Mammalia; Rodentia; Muridae
Source: RNAcentral